RNAcentral lists this ribosomal RNA (617 nucleotides) under uncultured bacterium. Its description in RNAcentral is "bacterial SSU rRNA". It matches the Rfam family "Bacterial small subunit ribosomal RNA", at positions 41 to 649 of the family's 1533-position model. The record is from RNAcentral.
GGCAGCUUACACAUGCAAGUCGAGCGGUAACAGAGAUAGCUUGCUAUCUGCUGACGAGCGGCGGACGGGUGAGUAAUGCUUGGGAAUAUGCCUUUGAGUGGGGGACAACAGUUGGAAACGACUGCUAAUACCGCAUAACGUCUACGGACCAAAGGGGGGGAUGCUUCGGCACCUCUCGCUCAUUGAUUAGCCCAAGUGAGAUUAGCUAGUUGGUAAGGUAAUGGCUUACCAAGGCGACGAUCUCUAGCUGGUUUGAGAGGAUGAUCAGCCACACUGGGACUGAGACACGGCCCAGACUCCUACGGGAGGCAGCAGUGGGGAAUAUUGCACAAUGGGCGAAAGCCUGAUGCAGCCAUGCCGCGUGUGUGAAGAAGGCCUUCGGGUUGUAAAGCACUUUCAGCGAGGAGGAAAGGUUAGUAGUUAAUAGCUGCUAGCUGUGACGUUACUCGCAGAAGAAGCACCGGCUAACUUCGUGCCAGCAGCCGCGGUAAUACGAGGGGUGCAAGCGUUAAUCGGAAUUACUGGGCGUAAAGCGUGCGUANGUGGUUUGUUAAGCAAGAUGUGAAAGCCCCGGGCUCAACCUGGGAACUGCAUUUUGAACUGGCAAACUAGAGUUU